Molecule: ribosomal RNA, 253 nt
Filed under: uncultured bacterium
Lineage: Bacteria
Description: partial 16S ribosomal RNA
Rfam family: Bacterial small subunit ribosomal RNA
Source: RNAcentral
UACAGAGGUCUCAAGCGUUGUUCGGAUUCAUUGGGCGUAAAGGGUGCGUAGGUGGCGCUGUAAGUCAGGUGUGAAAUUUCGGAGCUCAACUUCGAAACUGCAUUUGAUACUGCGGUGCUUGAGGACUGGAGAGGAGACUGGAAUUUACGGUGUAGCAGUGAAAUGCGUAGAGAUCGUAAGGAAGACCAGUGGCGAAGGCGGUUCUCUGGGCCUUACCUGACGCUGAGGAGCGAAAGCGUGGGGAGCGAACAGG